CCUAUAUUUUGAUGAAUUUUGUGAUUUCUUCAUUACAUUUUUAUUUGGCUGUUCGUGCGUACAAAAAAAUAUUCGGUAGCCGAAGCCUUCACCCGCUAGUUAGUGAUUGGUCAACAGUACUACUCCUAGUAGGAGCAGGAACUAUGGACGGGAUUUCUUCAAUUAAGUGUUUGUCAUUCAAUGAGAGAUUACUAGUUUUAAUGCACUUUUAACUUCAGAAAUACUGCACAAAACAUCUUAGCAAGACGUCUAAAUUAAUGAUUUCUUGAUUUAUCUUAGAUGAAUUCUGAUUUAUUUUGAACAAGUGUUAUGGCUAUGUUGCUACGGUGGAUCACGAGGGACAAACAACAGUGAUAUUGCCAGGUCUUUAGGGAGUAUGUGAGCAUAGACCUUCGCUUCGCCUAGCUGAGUUGUGCUAAGAGCAAAUUGAACAUAUACACUACAUGGCCAAAAGUACCUGCUCGUCGAACAUCUCAUUCCAAAAAACAUGGGCAUAAAUAUGGUGUUGAUUUUCCCCCCCUUUGCUGCUAUAACAGCCUCCACUCUUCUGGGAAGUCAUUAAUAUGGAGGUUCUGCUGCUAUAACAGCCUCCACUCUUCUGGGAAGGCUUUCCAAUAGACGUUGAAACUCUGCUGCAGGGACUUGCUUCCAUUCAGGCACAAGAGCAUUAGUGAAGUUAUUUUUGUAUUUAUUUGGCCUUUAUUUAACUAGGCAAGUCAGUUAAGAACAAAUUCUUAUUUUCAAUGAUGGCCUAGGAACAGUGGGUUAACUACCUGUUCAGGGGCAGAAUGACAGGCUACCCUGCCGCCCCAGGGCAUUGAUGUUGGGCGAUUAGGCCAGGCUCGCAAUCAGCAUUCCAAUUCAUGCCAACGGUGUUUGAUGGUUGAGUUUAGGGCACUGUGAAGGCAAGUCAAGUUCUUCCACAGCAAUCUCAACAAAAUAUUUCUGUAUGGACCUCGCUUUGUGCACGGGGGCAUUGUCAUGCUGAAACAGGAAAGGGCCUUCCCCAUGCUGUUGCUAUAAAGUUGGAAACACAGAAUCAUCUAGAAUGUCAUUGUAUGCUGUAGUGUUAAGAUUUCCCUUCACUGGAACUAAGGGGCCUAGCCCGAACCAUGAAAAAUAGCCCCAGACCAUUAUUCCUCCUCCACCAAACUUUACAGUUGUCACUAGGCAUUAGGGCAGGUAGCGUUCUCCUGGCAUUCGCCAAACCGAGAUUUGUCUGUCGGACUGCCUGAUGGUGAAUUGUGAUUCAUCACUCCAGAGAACAUGUUUCCAAUGCUCCAGAGUCCAAUGGUCGGGAGCUUUGCACCACUCCAGCCAACGCUUAGCAUUGCGCAUGGUGAUCUUAGGCUUGUGUGCGGCUGCUCUGUCAUGGAAACCCAUUUCAUGAAGCUCCCGAGGAACAGUUAUUGUUCUGACAUUGCUUCUGUAACAGUAUAACUUUUAAACCGUCCCCUCGCCCAUACCCGGGUGCGAACCAGGGACCCUCUGCACACAUCAACAGUCACCCACGAAGCAUCGUCACCCAUCGCUCCACAAAAGCAGCGGCCCUUGCAGAGCAAGGGGAACUACUACUUCGAGGUCUCAGAGCAAGUGACGUCACCGAUUGAAACGCUAUUUAGCGCGCACCGCUAACUAAGCUAGCCGUUUCACAUCCGUUACACUUCCAGAGGCAGUUUGGAACUCGGUAGUGAGUGUUGCACCUGUAGUCAAAGAUCAGCUCCUUUGUCUUGAUCACGUUGAGGGGGAGGUUGUUGUUCUGGCACCACACUGUCAGGUCUCUGACCUCUUCCCUAUAGGCUGUCUCAUCGUUGAGGGGGAGGUUGUUGUUCUGGCACCACACUGUCAGGUCUCUGACCUCUUCCCUAUAGGCUGUCUCAUCGUUGUCAGUGAUCAGGCCUACCACCAGGUCUCUGACCUCUUCCCUAUAGGCUGUCUCAUCGUUGUCAGUGAUCAGGCCUACCACCAGGUCUCUGGCCUCCUCCCUAUAGGCUGUCUCAUCGUUGUCAGUGAUCAGGCCUACCACCAGGUCUCUGGCCUCCUCCCUAUAGGCUGUCUCAUCGUUGUCAGUGAUCAGGCCUACCACCAGGUCUCUGACCUCCCUAUAGGCUGUCUCAUCGUUGUCAGUGAUCAGGCCUACCACCAGGUCUCUGGCCUCCUCCCUAUAGGCUGUCUCAUCGUUGUCAGUGUUCAGGCCUACCACCAGGUCUCUGACCUCCCUAUAGGCUGUCUCAUCGUUGUCAGUGAUCAGGCCUACCACCAGGUCUCUGGCCUCCUCCCUAUAGGCUGUCUCAUCGUUGUCAGUGAUCAGGCCUACCACCAGGUCUCUGACCUCUUCCCUAUAGGCUGUCUCAUCGUUGAGGGUGAUCAGGCCUACCACCAGGUCUCUGACCUCUUCCCUAUAGGCUGUCUCAUCGUUGUUGGUGAUCAGGCCUACCACCGUUGUUGUCGGAAACUUAAUUUUGGAGUAGUUUGGCCAUGCAGUCGGGUGAACAGAGUACAGCAGGAGUCGAAGCACCCCUGACGGGCCCCCGUGUUGAGGAUCAGUGUGCCAGAUGUGUUGUUGCCUACCCCAUACCACCUGAGGUCGUCCCGUCUGGACGUCCAGGAUCCUUCCUUCCGGUUACUAGUCCAACGCUCUAACCACUAGGCUACCCUGCCACCCCAAGAUAAACUAUCUUGGUAAAUAGUGUGGUCUACAGCUUCAUAUGAGAUACUCUACCUCAGGCGAGCAAAACCUUGAGUCUUUAAUAUUAGAUAUUGUUAUAUUAGAUCACCAGCUGUUAUUGACAAAUCGACACAUCCACUAAUUUGAAGGGAUGUCCACAUACUUGUGUAUAUAUAGUGUAUGUUCUGAUAGGAGCAAACUGAACAUACAGUGCAUUUGGAAAGUAUUCAGACCCCUUUUUCCACAUUUUGUGUUACAGCCUUAUUCUAAAAUUAAUAAAAUAAAAUCCCCUCAAUCUACACACAAUACCCCAUAUGAUACAUUUGAUGAUGAUACAUUUGAUUUAUUAACUGUGUUUUAUAUUCGGUGAUUAUUAACUGUGUUUUAUAUUCAGUGAUUAUUAACUGUGUUUUAUAUUCAGUGAUUAUUAACUGUGUUUUAUAUUCAGUGAUUAUUAACUGUGUUUUAUAUUCAGUGAUUAUUAACUGUGUUUUAUAUUCGGUGAUUAUUAACUGUGUUUUU
Long non-coding RNA from Oncorhynchus keta (chum salmon), 3190 nucleotides. RefSeq lists it as uncharacterized. The record is from RefSeq and is a predicted model, not a curated record. The transcript is spliced from 3 exons. Lineage: Eukaryota; Metazoa; Chordata; Actinopteri; Salmoniformes; Salmonidae.